RNAcentral lists this ribosomal RNA (460 nucleotides) under uncultured bacterium. RNAcentral's name for it is "partial 16S ribosomal RNA". It matches the Rfam family "Bacterial small subunit ribosomal RNA", at positions 338 to 795 of the family's 1533-position model. The record is from RNAcentral.
CCUACGGGGGGCAGCAGUGAGGAAUAUUGGUCAAUGGACGAGAGUCUGAACCAGCCAAGUAGCGUGAAGGAUGACUGCCCUAUGGGUUGUAAACUUCUUUUAUAAAGGAAUAAAACGAGGCACGUGUGCCUUUUUGCAUGUACUUUAUGAAUAAGGCUCGGCUAACUCCGUGCCAGCAGCCGCGGUCAUACGGAGGAUCCGAGCGUUAUCCGGAUUUAUUGGGUUUAAAGGGAGCGUAGAUGGGUUGUUAAGUCAGUUGUGAAAGUUUGCGGCUCAACCGUAAAAUUGCAAUUGAUACUGGCAGUCUUGAGUACAGUUGAGGUAGGCGGAAUUCGUGGUGUAGCGGUGAAAUGCUUAGAUAUCACGAAGAACCCCGAUUGCGAAGGCAGCUUACUAAACUGUGACUGACAUUGAUGCUCGAAAGUGUGGGUAGCAAACAGGAUUAGAUACCCCUGUAGUC